This 253-nucleotide ribosomal RNA is filed under the name uncultured bacterium. RNAcentral's name for it is "partial 16S ribosomal RNA". It matches the Rfam family "Bacterial small subunit ribosomal RNA", at positions 524 to 776 of the family's 1533-position model. The record is from RNAcentral.
UACGGGGGGGGCAAGCGUUGUUCGGAAUUACUGGGCGUAAAGGGCUCGUAGGUGGCCAACUAAGUCAGACGUGAAAUCCCUCGGCUUAACCGGGGAACUGCGUCUGAUACUGGAUGGCUUGAGUUCGGGAGAGGGAUGCGGAAUUCCAGGUGUAGCGGUGAAAUGCGUAGAUAUCUGGAGGAACACCGGUGGCGAAGGCGGCAUUCUGGACUACAACUGACACUGAGGAACGAAAGCCAGGGGAGCAAACGGG